GAUGAACGCUAGCGAUAGGCUUAACACAUGCAAGUCGAGGGGCAGCAUGGUCUUAGCUUGCUAAGGCUGAUGGCGACCGGCGCACGGGUGCGUAACGCGUAUGCAACUUGCCUCACAGAGGGGGAUAACCCGUCGAAAGACGGACUAAUACCGCGUACACUCUAUGUUGGGCAUCCAAUGUAGAGGAAAUGAAAUUCGCUGUGAGAUAGGCAUGCGUCCCAUUAGCUAGUUGGUGAGGUAACGGCUCACCAAGGCGACGAUGGGUAGGGGAACUGAGAGGUUGAACCCCCACACUGGUACUGAGGCACGGACCAGACUCCUACGGGAGGCAGCAGUGAGGAAUAUUGGUCAAUGGGCGAGAGCCUGAACCAGCCAAGUCGCGUGAAGGAUGACUGUCUUAUGGAUUGUAAACUUCUUUUAUACGGGAAUAACAAGAGUCACGUGUGGCUCCCUGCAUGUACCGUAUGAAUAAGCAUCGGCUAACUCCGUG
Molecule: ribosomal RNA, 490 nt
Filed under: uncultured bacterium
Lineage: Bacteria
Description: partial 16S ribosomal RNA
Rfam family: Bacterial small subunit ribosomal RNA
Source: RNAcentral